UCCUUGGUGGUCCAGUGGUAGGACUCUAUGCUCUCAAUGCAGGGGGCACAGGUUUGAUACCUGUUCAAGGAA
This 72-nucleotide transfer RNA is filed under the name Bos taurus (domestic cattle). It matches the Rfam family "tRNA". From Rfam's summary of the family: Transfer RNA (tRNA) molecules are approximately 80 nucleotides in length. Their secondary structure includes four short double-helical elements and three loops (D, anti-codon, and T loops). Lineage: Eukaryota; Metazoa; Chordata; Mammalia; Artiodactyla; Bovidae. The record is from Rfam by way of RNAcentral. RNAcentral also lists the same sequence under 3 other names.